GAGAGAAGAACAUAUAAGGAUAGCCAAGGAGACUGCCUGAUGUCUUUUGAUGAGUAAAAUGGUCAUACUUGAUAUAACUUAUAGUCAUUUGUCAAUCAUGAUGCUAUAACCAUUUUACUCAAAGAAACAGGCAAGUCAUCCUUGGCUACCAAAUAUGAUUCUCCUCU
This 167-nucleotide microRNA precursor is filed under the name Arabidopsis suecica. The record is from RNAcentral. Lineage: Eukaryota; Viridiplantae; Streptophyta; Magnoliopsida; Brassicales; Brassicaceae.